AGUGAACGCUGGCGAUAGGCCUAACACAUGCAAGUCGAACGGCAGCACAGUAAGAGCUUGCUCUUACGGGUGGCGAGUGGCGGACGGGUGAGGAAUACAUCGGAAUCUACUUUUUCGUGGGGGAUAACGUAGGGAAACUUACGCUAAUACCGCAUACGACCUACGGGUGAAAGCAGGGGAUCUUCGGACCUUGCGCGAUUGAAUGAGCCGAUGUCGGAUUAGCUAGUUGGCGGGGUAAAGGCCCACCAAGGCGACGAUCCGUAGCUGGUCUGAGAGUAUGAUCAGCCACACUGGAACUGAGACACGGUCCAGACUCCUACGGGAGGCAGCAGUGGGGAAUAUUGGACAAUGGGCGCAAGCCUGAUCCAGCCAUACCGCGUGGGUGAAGAAGGCCUUCGGGUUGUAAAGCCCUUUUGUUGGGAAAGAAAAGCAGCAGGUUAAUACCCCGCUGUUCUGACGGUACCCAAAGAAUAAGCACCGGCUAACUUCGUG
Molecule: ribosomal RNA, 492 nt
Filed under: uncultured bacterium
Lineage: Bacteria
Description: partial 16S ribosomal RNA
Rfam family: Bacterial small subunit ribosomal RNA
Source: RNAcentral